GACGAACGCUGGCGGCGUGCCUAACACAUGCAAGUCGAACGGACGAGGGGAGCUUGCUCCCUGAGUUAGUGGCGAACGGGUGAGUAACGCGUGAGAAAUCUGCCUCUCAGUGGGGGACAACAGUUGGAAACGACUGCUAAUACCGCAUAAUGUGUCCGGAGGGCAUCCUCUGGAUACCAAAGCUUUAUGUGCUGAGAGAUGGUCUCGCGUCUGAUUAGCUAGUUGGUGGGGUAACGGCUCACCAAGGCGACGAUCAGUAGCCGGUCUGAGAGGAUGAACGGCCACAUUGGGACUGAGAUACGGCCCAGACUCCUACGGGAGGCAGCAGUGGGGAAUAUUGGGCAAUGGGGGAAACCCUGACCCAGCAACGCCGCGUGAAGG
RNAcentral lists this ribosomal RNA (381 nucleotides) under uncultured bacterium. Its description in RNAcentral is "bacterial SSU rRNA". It matches the Rfam family "Bacterial small subunit ribosomal RNA", at positions 28 to 407 of the family's 1533-position model. The record is from RNAcentral.